RNAcentral lists this ribosomal RNA (481 nucleotides) under uncultured bacterium. Its description in RNAcentral is "partial 16S ribosomal RNA". It matches the Rfam family "Bacterial small subunit ribosomal RNA", at positions 28 to 507 of the family's 1533-position model. The record is from RNAcentral.
GAUGAACGCUGGCGGCGUGCUUAACACAUGCAAGUCGAACGAAGCAUUUAAGACAGAUUACUUCGGUUUGAAGUCUUUUAUGACUGAGUGGCGGACGGGUGAGUAACGCGUGGGUAACCUGCCUCAUACAGGGGGAUAGCAGCUGGAAACGGCUGGUAAUACCGCAUAAGCGCACAGUACCACAUGGUACAGUGUGAAAAACUCCGGUGGUAUGAGAUGGACCCGCGUCUGAUUAGCUUGUUGGCGGGGUAACGGCCCACCAAGGCGACGAUCAGUAGCCGACCUGAGAGGGUGACCGGCCACAUUGGGACUGAGACACGGCCCAGACUCCUACGGGAGGCAGCAGUGGGGAAUAUUGCACAAUUGAGGAAACUCUGAUGCAGCGACGCCGCGUGAGUGAAGAAGUAGUUCGCUAUGUAAAGCUCUAUCAGCAGGGAAGAUAGUGACGGUACCUGACUAAGAAGCUCCGGCUAAAUACGUG